This is a non-coding RNA of Pelobates cultripes (western spadefoot toad), 222 nucleotides long. Lineage: Eukaryota; Metazoa; Chordata; Amphibia; Anura; Pelobatidae. The record is from the annotation of a GenBank genome assembly.
CCUGUCUCGUCUUUCCUCCAAGCUAUACAUGUUAAGAUCAUUUAACCUUUCCUGGUAAGUUUUAUCCCGCAAUCCAUGAACCAGUUUAGUAGCCCUUCUCUGAACCCUCUCUAAGGUAUCAAUAUCCUUCUGAAGAUACGGUCUCCAGUACUGUGUACAAUAUUCCAAGUGAGGUCUCACCAGUGUUCUGUACAAUGGUAUGAGCACUUCCCUCUUUCUACU